GAGACACCGGCAUCCUGUGACGCUAUCCCGGCCCCACAAGGCAUUGCAAACCCUUCCCAAAGCGCCCUGCGGCCAGUUGCACAGCUACUCACCAUGCAUUGCUCUCUGUGUCCAUCCAGGAGUCUAGCCUGGAAGU
Non-coding RNA from Chelonoidis abingdonii (Abingdon island giant tortoise), 136 nucleotides. NCBI's taxonomy places the organism in Eukaryota, Metazoa, Chordata, Testudines, Testudinidae. The record is from RefSeq and is a predicted model, not a curated record.